RNAcentral lists this ribosomal RNA (498 nucleotides) under uncultured Bacteroidota bacterium. Its description in RNAcentral is "bacterial SSU rRNA". It matches the Rfam family "Bacterial small subunit ribosomal RNA", at positions 548 to 1050 of the family's 1533-position model. The record is from RNAcentral. Lineage: Bacteria; Pseudomonadati; Bacteroidota.
GAUUUAUUGGGUUUAAAGGGUGCGUAGGCGGGUUGUUAAGUCAGUGGUGAAAUCUUGCAGCUUAACUGUAAAAUUGCCAUUGAUACUGACGAUCUUGAGUACACUUGAAGUGGGCGGAAUAUGUCAUGUAGAGGUGAAAUUCUUAGAGAUGACAUAGAACACCGAUUGCGAAGGCAGCUCACUAAAUUGUAACUGACGCUGAGGCACGAAAGCGUGGGGAUCAAACAGGAUUAGAUACCCUGGUAGUCCACGCCCUAAACGAUGAUUACUAGAUGUGUGCAAUAUACCGUACGCGUCACAGCUAAAGCGUUAAGUAAUCCACCUGGGGAGUACGGUCGCAAGACUGAAACUCAAAGGAAUUGACGGGGGCCCGCACAAGCGGAGGAGCAUGUGGUUUAAUUCGAUGAUACGCGAGGAACCUUACCAGGGCUUGAAAGUUAGUGAAAGAUUUAGAAAUAGGUCAGCAAGCAAUUGCACGAAACUAGGUGCUGCAUGGCC